CAGUGAGGAAUUUUGCGCAAUGGGGGAAACCCUGACGCAGCAACGCCGCGUGAGUGAAGAAGGCCUUUGGGUCGUAAAGCUCUGUCGACAGGGAAGAAGUUAGAGUUUUCUAAUAGGAGAUUCUAUUGACGGUACCUGUAGAGGAAGCACCGGCUAACUCCGUGCCAGCAGCCGCGGUAAUACGGGGGGUGCAAGCGUUAUUCGGAAUUAUUGGGCGUAAAGGGCGCGUAGGCGGUCUUGUCGGUCAGAUGUGAAAGCCCAGGGCUCAACCCUGGACGUGCAUUUGAAACAGCAAGACUUGAAUACUGGAGAGGAGAGCGGAAUUCCUGGUGUAGAGGUGAAAUUCGUAGAUAUCAGGAGGAACACCGAUGGCGAAGGCAGCUCUCUGGACAGAUAUUGACGCUGAGGCGCGAAGGCGUGGGUAGCGAACAGGAUUAGAUACCCUGGUAGUCCACGCAGUAAACGAUGUUCACUAGGUGUGUCGGAUAUUAAAAUCUGCAUGUGCCCGCAGCUAACGCAUUAAGUGAACCGC
RNAcentral lists this ribosomal RNA (532 nucleotides) under uncultured bacterium. Its description in RNAcentral is "bacterial SSU rRNA". It matches the Rfam family "Bacterial small subunit ribosomal RNA", at positions 352 to 872 of the family's 1533-position model. The record is from RNAcentral.